This 482-nucleotide ribosomal RNA is filed under the name uncultured Rhodoferax sp. RNAcentral's name for it is "bacterial SSU rRNA". It matches the Rfam family "Bacterial small subunit ribosomal RNA", at positions 902 to 1382 of the family's 1533-position model. Lineage: Bacteria; Pseudomonadati; Pseudomonadota; Betaproteobacteria; Burkholderiales; Comamonadaceae. The record is from RNAcentral.
CAAAGGAAUUGACGGGACCCGCACAAGCGGUGGAUGAUGUGGUUUAAUUCGAUGCAACGCGAAAACCUUACCCACCUUUGACAUAUACGGAACCCUUUAGAGAUAGAGGGGUGCUCGAAAGAGAGCCGUAACACAGGUGCUGCAUGGCUGUCGUCAGCUCGUGUCGUGAGAUGUUGGGUUAAGUCCCGCAACGAGCGCAACCCUUGUCAUUAGUUGCUACAUUCAGUUGGGCACUCUAAUGAGACUGCCGGUGACAAGCCGGAGGAAGGUGGGGAUGACGUCAAGUCCUCAUGGCCCUUAUAGGUGGGGCUACACACGUCAUACAAUGGCUGGUACCAAAAGGGGUUUGCCAACCCGCGAGGGGGAGCCAAUCCCAUAAAGCCAGUCGUAGUCCGGAUCGUAGUCUGCAACUCGACUACGUGAAGUCGGAAUCGCUAGUAAUCGUGGAUCAGAAUGUCACGGUGAAUACGUUCCCGGGUCUU